CCCGCCCCCUCCUUGCCCGUAGCCCUUGACUCCUCCAGCCAUCCCACGACUGCCAUGGACUCUGUGCGGCAUUUCUCCAGAUCGGAAGCUAGUCUGGAAGCCAGUCUGAAAGGCAGUGAAGGCGACUCCUUCGACGGCUCUGUUGUGCUCGGUCGUGGCUUGUCGUUGGCUUUCCUCUUGGACCGCCAGUUGGUAGAUCCGGCCGAGCGAAGGUAAUGGGUCCAUCGCCAAGAUUUGUGAUCGAAAGGCGUUGCUUUAGGUCCCUCGAGACGUUCCUCGGCCGCCUUGAGCUCAUUCCAGAGAGUCGAGAGUCGAUUGAAGCAGGUAGUGACUGAUUGAUUUCCUUUUCUCAGUUCUGAAAUGGCCUAAGUGAUAGUAAAGAGCUUCGCCGGAUCAAGAUGCCCAUACAUCUCUCGAAUGUUCGCCCAAAAGGUCUUCGAGUCCUCAGUUGGCGGUAGCCUAGUUGCAACUUUCGGAGCGAGACAAUUUCCAAUCCAGGUAUGCACUAAUUGGUUGCAUUUUCUCCAAAAUCGUUGCAAUCGUUCGUCAGUCGGAUAGGGGACGGUGCUAUCAAGGAAACCGUCCUUGUCCUUUGUUACAAGCGCUUGCCGGAGGUCUCGAGCCCAAGCAUUGUAAUUGUCCUGUUUGGUGAGCUGCAAGUUGAUGAGUCAGAGCUCCGGUUUGUCGGCCGUCAACGUGUGAAGAGGAUCUCCAGGCUUGGGAUGGCCGCCGUUGAAAGGGGUACCGGCCGAGAUGAGGCCAUUGAGUCGGUCCCUGUAUUGGUCCUUGUAUUGAUGGAACUGUAACAAAUGGUUGAGCAGGCAUCGAUGAAGUCGUAACUGAUGAUUGAGCAGGUAUCGCGCCUUCUUCUGUUGGGUCGACUAGUGCUGGAUUCGAGUUUUGAUGGGGGUUGAGAUCACAACAACAGACGAGAAAAGAACCGAAAGGCAAUUUGAAGAUGCGGAAGCUUAGGCUAGAAUAGAGUGCUCUGAUACCAUGACAGAAUAUGAAAAGAAGUGGAGAGGAAAACUGGAGCUUUGUAUUUCAGUAUGUUUCUUGUACACAUUCAUUACAGUAAGGGUAAAGUGUAAAACAAGAAAGAAAUAUACAUCGAUUCUAAUUCUUAUUUUACCAAGUCAAUUACCGAUUGAAUGAAACAAUCAUUGAUACUU
Molecule: long non-coding RNA, 1172 nt
Organism: Eucalyptus grandis
Lineage: Eukaryota; Viridiplantae; Streptophyta; Magnoliopsida; Myrtales; Myrtaceae
Exons: 3
Source: RefSeq, a predicted model, not a curated record